This is a long non-coding RNA of Polistes canadensis, 617 nucleotides long. RefSeq lists it as uncharacterized. Lineage: Eukaryota; Metazoa; Arthropoda; Insecta; Hymenoptera; Vespidae. The record is from RefSeq and is a predicted model, not a curated record. The transcript has 2 exons.
AGUUGGAAUCCGCUAAGGAGUGUAUAACAACUCACCUGCCGAAGCAACUAGCCUUGAAAACGAAUGGCGCUGAAGCGUCGCGCCCAUGCUCUGCCGUCAGCGGCAGGUGUGGCGGUUAGUCCGGGUUUACUCGGGCGCCGCUAUGAAGCCCUDACGAGUAGGAGGGUCGCGGCGGUGUGCGCAGAAGGGUCUGGACGUGAGCUUGCCUAGAGCUGCCGUCGGUGCAGAUCUUGGUGGUAGUAGCAAAUACUCCAGCGAGGCCCUGAAGGACUGACGUGGAGAAGAGUUUCGUGUGAACAGCCGUUGCACACGAGUCAGUCGAUCCUAAGCCCUAAGAGAAAUCCUAUGUCGAUGAUGGUGUGCAGACAAAAUGUUGUUUUAUUAAUAACGACACACGUCCGUCGGGCGAAAGGAAAUCCGGUUCCUAUUCCGGAACCCAGCAGCGGAACCGCUUGCAAAUCGGGCCCUCGUAAGAGAGUUCGUCGGGGUAACCCAAAAUGACCAGGAGACGCCGUCGAUAGAUCCGGGAAGAGUUUUCUUUUCUGUAUAAGCGUUUAAAUUCCCUGGAAACCUCUAGCAGGGAGAUAGGGUUUGGAACGCGAAGAGCACCGCAGUUG